RNA transcript from Malania oleifera, 2855 nucleotides. It is a transcript of the gene named shaggy-related protein kinase eta, with no coding region annotated. Lineage: Eukaryota; Viridiplantae; Streptophyta; Magnoliopsida; Santalales; Ximeniaceae. The transcript is spliced from 12 exons. The record is from RefSeq and is a predicted model, not a curated record.
UUCCCCUCUUAUCUAAUUUUUCACACACUGUUUACCGUUCCGGAGCGAGAAAAAGUAGCGGGGAGAAAAAUGGGUGGGAAAGUGGGAGAGAGAAAGAGAAAGAGGGAGAAAGUAGAGGGAGAAAAGCAAAGAGAGAGAAAGUAGAGCGAGAGAGAGACCAAGAGGGGGAGGGGGGCAGUAGUAGAGCUGUACACCACAUGGCCUCAUUCUCUCUGGGGUCUCACCAUCCACCACCACCACCAGGCCAUGACUCUCUCUUGAAGAUUCCCUCUCGCCGCCCCGACAUGGAUCACGACAAGGAAAUGUCGUCUGCUGUUAUGGAGGGAAAUGACCCGGUUACUGGCCACAUUAUUUCUACUACCAUUGGAGGCAAAAAUGGUGAACCAAAACAGACAAUUAGUUACAUGGCAGAGCGCGUUGUGGGUACAGGAUCAUUUGGAAUUGUCUUCCAGGCAAAAUGCUUGGAAAGUGGGGAGACAGUGGCUAUAAAGAAGGUCUUGCAGGACAGGCGCUAUAAAAAUCGUGAGCUACAGUUAAUGCGCUUAAUGGAUCAUCCAAAUGUGAUUUCUCUGAAGCAUUGUUUCUUUUCUACAACAAGUAAAGAUGAGCUUUUUCUGAAUUUGGUUAUGGAAUAUGUCCCCGAGACAAUGUUCCGGGUCCUCAAGCAUUACAGCAAUGCAAAUCAGAGGAUGCCUCUAAUCUAUGUGAAACUCUACACUUAUCAGAUUUUUAGGGGGCUGGCAUAUAUCCAUACUGUUCCUGGGGUUUGUCAUAGGGACGUGAAGCCUCAAAAUCUUCUGGUUGAUCCUCUCACUCACCAAGUGAAACUUUGUGACUUUGGGAGUGCAAAAGCUCUGGUUAAGGGCGAAGCAAACAUAUCAUACAUAUGCUCCCGCUAUUACCGAGCUCCGGAACUUAUAUUUGGCGCAACAGAAUAUUCAACGUCAAUUGACAUUUGGUCAGCUGGUUGUGUUCUUGCAGAGCUUCUUCUAGGCCAGCCAUUGUUUCCUGGAGAAAAUGCAGUUGACCAACUUGUAGAGAUUAUAAAGGUUCUUGGUACUCCUACUCGAGAGGAAAUUCGGUGUAUGAAUCCAAAUUAUACGGACUUCAGGUUUCCCCAGAUAAAAGCUCAUCCCUGGCAUAAGGUGUUUCACAAACGGAUGCCACCUGAGGCUAUUGAUCUUGCUUCGCGGCUUCUGCAGUAUUCACCAAGUCUUCGCUGCACGGCUCUAGAAGCCUGUUCCCAUCCUUUUUUCGAUGAUCUUCGCGAACCCAAUGCCCGUCUCCCAAAUGGUCGCCCUUUGCCCCCACUUUUCAACUUUAAGCAGGAAGUACGUCUCACCUAUUUCUUCUAAUGCAUUUUGACCCUUGCAUUAAGUGUGCUUUUCUUUUGUGGAAAUUAUUCUGUAAAUAAAGCCUCUGGGCUCUGAUGAUCCCAAGGAUUUUUGAGCUUUGAUAUUCAGUGUUUUAAUGUUGUAUUGUGUUCACUUUGUCUAAAGGUAGGUGAAUAUCAACUUCAUCCGCCCCUUCCCCCUCAAAAAAACAAAAAUGCCACAAAAAUAAAAGAAAUAUCUGGCUUUCCAAGUAUUUGUAGGUUCCCCAGAAAUGAAGGAAAAAGUAAAUAACCUGUUCAUGAAUAAUGAAAGAUUUGCCUUAGUUGCCGUUGAUUCAACAAUUUUGAUCAGUGUUCCUGAAUUUGCUUCCAUGUCAAGUGGCAUACCAGCAAGAUCAUGUUUCCCCUGAUAUAUAUGUACUCACCCAUGAUGACUAUAUAUUUGAACAUAUGCUGGUGCUUUGCUUGCCUGACAUGAAUCCAAACUUGUUUAGCUGCCCUGUAGAUAAGUAUAGCCUAACAUGAAGCCUUAUUUGAGAGUAGGGAUGUCAGACAUGUGCUUGCAGCUUCAUGUCAGACACGUGUUUUUAAUGAAAAUCCCUUCUACUAAUAUGAUUUUAAUCUAAUUGCGAGGUAUGAAGUUCCAACGAUGAUGGUUGGAUCUGGCUAUCCAUUGGUGGCCAUGGCAGCAAGUAUAUGCCUGAUAAGUGUAAAAGAAAGCUGAGUAUUGGUUGAUAUUAUUUUCCUUGUGGUAAAUAAGUUAGCUCAGGAAUGAUGAAUGAAUUUUUUACACAGAGAGCGGUUCAAGAAUGACAUUUUCUUAUUAACACUGCAGUGCAUGUUAAUAAUUCUGUACUCUUAAGUUGGUUCAAGGGUGUUGGAUGAAGUUUUCAUACGGCUCAAUUGACAUGUGCAUCUGGUCCAUAUGUUGUUGAUAAUCUAACCUCUAUUUUUUGACUCGUGUUCUCCCCAUCUGGUUACAGUUAUCUGGAGCUUCACCUGAACUCAUCAACAGGCUUAUACCUGACCAUGUGCGGCGGCAAAGUGGUCUCAGCUUCCCUCAUCCAGCGGGCACGUAAGUAGAGAGAGAAAGCAUGAAGGUUGCCUUUUCUCUAGUGGAUGUAGCAAAGGGGGUUCCGAUACCUCUUUGUGAGCUGUGUUGCCGAGCAUGGCCUAAUUGCAGACGUUUUUGUCACGUGCAAAGAUGCAUAUGUAUACUGGCUGUUCUGUUCGGCAUGACUUGGAAUUCAUGUUGUCUAGUACAUCAAUUUAGCUUAAAACAAACUGUUUCCCUGCUUUUGUACAUUGUUUUGAUCGUAAAAGAUUCCAGAAAGCUAGGAGUUAAGGGAUGUUGCAAUUCAUGUCUGGAUAUAGGUAGGUGCUUUAAAAGCACGCGGGAGCUGCUGCAGACUCGGUAAACUGGCUUGUUUUUCACUUUACAUGGUAUUGUUUCUACCUUUUAAGGUUGUGGUGUUUUGUUGUCUCAAACUACAUUUCAUAAUUGGAGUUUACUGUUUAUUUC